UGCUUUAAACGGUUUGUCUUUUUAAAAACCUUUUCAUGUGGACAUAUCUUUCAUCGUGUGGGUUUGAAAAUACGGCUGUUGAUAAUCGUAGGUUACAAAUCCCGCUACAUCCAUUUCAUCAAGCUUUAUUUAAAUGUGCAUUUGACACUGCAGGACACUUUACAUGUUGUCCUGCUCACAUCAUUAUAUUCUGUUACUACGGUCCUGCUUCCCCUGACUGUCUGUCUGACUGACUGUCUGUCUGUCGUUCUCCCAGGGAGUGUCUGUCUGUCUGUCUGACUCUCUGUCGUUCUCCCAGGGAGUGUCUGUCUGACUGACUGUCUGUCUGACUGACUGUCUGUCUGUCUGACUCUCUGUCGUUCUCCCAGGGAGUGUCUGUCUGUCUGUCUGACUCUCUGUCGUUCUCCCAAAGAGUGUCUGUCUGUCUGACUGACUCUGCCAUUCUCCCAGGGAGUGUCUGUCUGUCUGACUGACUCUGCCCUUCUCCCAAAGAGUGUCUGUCUGUCUGUCUGACUCUCUGCCAUUCUCCCAGGGGGUGUCUGUCUGUCUGUCUGUCUGUCUGUCUGACUGACUCUGUCAUUCUCCCAGGGAGAUUCUUUAAGUUUCCUCCGGAUGCUUCCACCAUGAUGACGUCAUCAGUCCUGGACAGGCGUCACCGUCACCAGACCGACCCCAGUGUGAACUACGUCAACAUCCCCGUUAGCCCUGCGGCUAAAGCUAACAGAGCUGGCAGAGAGCUGCUCUACAUGGAGCUGGAUCUCCAGCCGGAGCCCUACGGUGGGCCAGUUUCCACCAACACCACUGCAGCGAGGGGUAACCCUUUGCAGCUGUGCAGACCCAUAGGGGGCUCCACCACAUACGCCCACAUAGACAUCACAGCCCUCAGAGACAGCUCAGAGAGUAGGAGCAGAACACGCCCAGAGGAGAGAGGCAGGCUGAUGGAGCUGGAGGAGAACACGCCCAGGGAGAGAGGAUAGGCUGAUGGAGCUGGAGGAGAACACGCCCAGGGGAGAGAGGAUAGGCUGAUGGAGCUGGGAGAACACGCCCACCAGAGGAGAAGAGGUAGGCUGAUGGAGCAGCUGA
Molecule: long non-coding RNA, 1083 nt
Filed under: Salmo trutta (river trout)
Lineage: Eukaryota; Metazoa; Chordata; Actinopteri; Salmoniformes; Salmonidae
Description: lncRNA (ENSSTUG00000027142.1)
Source: RNAcentral